Molecule: ribosomal RNA, 942 nt
Filed under: Ephemerocybe plagiopora
Lineage: Eukaryota; Fungi; Basidiomycota; Agaricomycetes; Agaricales; Psathyrellaceae
Description: LSU rRNA
Rfam family: Eukaryotic large subunit ribosomal RNA
Source: RNAcentral
GCAUAUCAAUAAGCGGAGGAAAAGAAACUAACAAGGAUUCCCCUAGUAACUGCGAGUGAAGCGGGAAAAGCUCAAAUUUAAAAUCUGGUGGUCUUUGGCCAUCCGAGUUGUAAUCUAGAGAAGUGUUACCCGCGUCGGACCGUGUACAAGUCUCCUGGAAUGGAGCGUCAUAGAGGGUGAGAAUCCCGUCUUUGACACGGACGCCCGAUGCUUUGUGGUGCGCUCUCAACGAGUCGAGUUGUUUGGGAAUGCAGCUCAAAAUGGGUGGUAAAUUCCAUCUAAAGCUAAAUAUUGGCGAGAGACCGAUAGCGAACAAGUACCGUGAGGGAAAGAUGAAAAGAACUUUGGAAAGAGAGUUAAACAGUACGUGAAAUUGCUGAAAGGGAAACGCUUGAAGUCAGUCGCGUUGGCCGGAAAUCAGCCUUCCUUUUGGUUGAUGUACUUUCUGGUUGACGGGCCAGCAUCAGUUUUGACCGGUGGAAAAAGUUGUAGGGAAUGUGGCAUCUUCGGGUGUGUUAUAGCCCUGCUUCGUAUACAUCGGUUGGGACUGAGGAACUCAGCACGCCGCAAGGCCGGGGUUCGCCCACGUUCGUGCUUAGGAUGCUGGCAUAAUGGCUUUAAUCGACCCGUCUUGAAACACGGACCAAGGAGUCUAACAUGCCUGCGAGUGUUUGGGUGGAAAACCCGAGCGCGUAAUGAAAGUGAAAGUCGAGAUCCUUGUCAUGGGGAGCAUCGACGCCCGGACCAGACGUUUUCUGACGGUUCUGCGGUAGAGCAUGUAUGUUGGGACCCGAAAGAUGGUGAACUAUGCCUGAAUAGGGUGAAGCCAGAGGAAACUCUGGUGGAGGCUCGUAGCGAUUCUGACGUGCAAAUCGAUCGUCAAAUUUGGGUAUAGGGGCGAAAGACUAAUCGAACCCAUCUAGUAGCUGGUUCCUGCCGAAG